CAGAGAAUAGUUCAGUUUUAGAAUUUUGGCUUUGGGAGCCACGGGUGGGGGUUAAAGUCCCUUUUUUCUGG
Molecule: transfer RNA, 71 nt
Filed under: Balantiocheilos melanopterus (tricolor sharkminnow)
Lineage: Eukaryota; Metazoa; Chordata; Actinopteri; Cypriniformes; Cyprinidae
Description: tRNA-Pro
Rfam family: tRNA
About the family: Transfer RNA (tRNA) molecules are approximately 80 nucleotides in length. Their secondary structure includes four short double-helical elements and three loops (D, anti-codon, and T loops).
Source: RNAcentral